RNAcentral lists this ribosomal RNA (2133 nucleotides) under Triticum aestivum (bread wheat). RNAcentral's name for it is "partial small subunit ribosomal RNA". Lineage: Eukaryota; Viridiplantae; Streptophyta; Magnoliopsida; Poales; Poaceae. The record is from RNAcentral.
CAGCAUGUGUGCAACCAAGCUGCCUGUCAAGCAGGAGUCGGUUCGACGGUUUUAACGGUUUAGUAGUAGGGGUGGCAAAGGAAAGGGGGUGGAGGCGGCGAGGGCAGGGGAGGGGAGGCGCUGGCUUUGUUACCCGCAGGAGGGAAGGUAGACUGCGGGGUUAGGUUAGGUACUCUUGGGGGCGCGGUGUUAGGCUAGAACGGCGGGCUCCUACAGGGACGGGCUGCAGCACAUGUCGACACCUAGGACACCUAUACGAGAUUUAGAAAGUAGAAGAUUGUCUUCGUGUAGACUGCAUCCUAGGAGCAUGGUUUUUAGAGACUUCUUCCCAGACUAAAGUAAGUGAAGAUAACUAGAGUCGGCAAAAUGAGUCCAACUGCUCUAUAGAACAAAAGGAAAGGAAUGGACCGCAUCGAUGGCCGGCUUUUGAUUCGAAGACACGGCUUUUACACCUAGUAGAUAACCGAUACCUAUACCACUCGGUGGACAUAACACAUCGAAACUAGGUCGUUCAAGAAGGAGACCAUGUAGGGUUUUGAUAAAUUAUUUCUAGGUCCGAGAGGCUGAAAGUCUGCCAUGAGUUAUUAACCAAUUCACAUCAGUCUUAUACCUUUUUCUCUACUACCUAUUGUCGUAUCUUCCGACAUAGUCAACGGAAAGACUACUAACGAACGAAAGAUAUAAAUUGUUCGAACUUUCACUUAGCCUGUUCUUACGAAAACCCAAUUGCACAUUCUUAACCAAGUUCCAAGCUUUGUAACGAGCUUUUAGCGAUUAUAAAGUAAAGAGUAAAUUACGAUUUCUUAUAUUCCUCGUACGGGUCACGGAAGGUUUCUACAACCGGGCAAGAGGUAUAGAAUUCAACUAUAGGGAACGCCCCGAAUCACUCGAUAGACUAAGUCGAGAAAUACUUCACCCUCAAAGACCUUGUAGAAACGUCAGGAAGAGUAACAUGAGGACAAGACCAUAUUGUCUACUACCAGAUCGUGUUCACAGUUAGCCUACAGGAUUAAACCAAUAUCAACUUGAAAUGGCGACGAAUUUAUAGUGGCUAGAACCAAACCUUUCAGAAAGGUUCCCGACAGUAAGAAACUUCUCAGAAUUGGAACCAAUGACGUGUCAAUAAAGUCUAGCUCCCUAAUCAAGUUAGAAAUCCUUAACGGCUUUGUAAACACGUGAAUAGUAUAGUAUAACGUCUCCACAUAGACCACAACCUAAAUCUCCAACGGGUUCAUGUGAAAGAAUGGAUCUUCGGCUCAGGACGUACGAAAGAGGUCUCCCUUACGAUCUGUAUAGCUCACCACCACCUGAGGUCAUGUAUUUAAACAUAUUAGAUUCCUCAAGUCAACCCGACCUAACGGAUCCACCUCAACCGUCAUACUUCUUUGAGGCUCAAGACUUAGACUCCUACACGGCGAUAGAAUGACUACUAAGACACCACCGUUAUCGAUCGCCCACAGGCAACUAACUCCUCACCUCGGAACGACAGACAGUACCGCAGGCGAAUGGACCAACCAGCCGCUAACCUAACUUGACGUUGUUCGAUUCUUAAGAAGUACACUUGGCAACAGCUUUGUAUACGCUGGUUCCUGACGUCCGAGAGUUCCUGCCUACACACGCGGAACUCCAGGACGUAUAUGUACCGACAUCGUUCUAAUGUUUAUUACCGGACCGUGACAAGUCGUAACGAUCCGGAUCACACUUCGUUUACCACCUGCUUCGGUACAGGUAACCAGGCAGGUAGCUCCUAAAUAAGGCCAACGUCACUAGCCCUUGAGACUUUCAAAUCAAUGUUGAAACUUCAAAACUGAACUUGUUCCACGGUAGGGAACAACAGUGGUCACACAAACAGUAAUGUCGUUUCAUAACCAAGAAACUGGUAGUGGUACACACGUAAGAUAAACAAGGCCAAGUAUGAAUAAACCAACAACCACAUUUCCUACAACGUCUGUAUUGGUAUUGAUAUGUUUACUUGACAUUCUUCAGUCAAACCACGAUGGCAAUAAACGUACAAGGGCGAGACCCAAAAACCGACAUUUCACGACAGUACUUUAAACUAUAACCAAUUUAGGUAACAGAAUAAAUCAGUAAAGCUUUCGUGAAAUUCAAAUUACACUAAGUAUUGGUAAGGGG